CUACGGGAGGCAGCAGUGAGGAAUUUUGCGCAAUGGGGGAAACCCUGACGCAGCGACGCCGCGUGGGUGAAGAAGGCUUUCGAGUCGUAAAGCCCUGUCAGGUGGGACGAAUAAAGCUCGUCGAUAAAACGGGCUUUUUGACGGUACCACCAGAGGAAGCACCGGCUAACUCCGUGCCAGCAGCCGCGGUAAUACGGAGGGUGCUAGCGUUGCUCGGAAUUACUGGGCGUAAAGCGCGUGUAGGCGGCCAGGUAAGUUAGAUGUGAAAGCCCUCGGCUCAACCGGGGAAUUGCAUCUAAUACUGCUUGGCUUGAGUACGGGAGAGGGAGGCGGAAUUCCCAGUGUAGAGGUGAAAUUCGUAGAGAUUGGGAGGAACACCAGUGGCGAAAGCGGCCUCCUGGACCAAUACUGACGCUGAGACGCGAAAGCGUGGGGAGCAAACAGGAUUAGAUACCCUGGUAGUCCACGCCGUAAACGAUGGGCACUAGGUAUGGGGAGUCUUUAUACUUUCCGUGCCGUAGCUAACGCAUUAAGUGCCCCGCCUGGGGAGUACGAUCGCAAGGUUGAAACUCAAAGGAAUGACGGAAUCGUCGACUGCAGCCCCU
RNAcentral lists this ribosomal RNA (605 nucleotides) under uncultured Syntrophobacteraceae bacterium. RNAcentral's name for it is "bacterial SSU rRNA". It matches the Rfam family "Bacterial small subunit ribosomal RNA", at positions 339 to 937 of the family's 1533-position model. The record is from RNAcentral. Lineage: Bacteria; Pseudomonadati; Thermodesulfobacteriota; Syntrophobacteria; Syntrophobacterales; Syntrophobacteraceae.